GUCCGUGGGCUACACACACGCUACAAGUGGUCAGCACAAGUGGGCUGCGAUGGGGUGACCCGGAGCGAAUCCCACAAAACCGGCCCCAGUUCGGAUCGAAGGCUGCAACUCGCCUUCGUGAAGUCGGAGUUGCUAGUAAUCGCGGAUCAGCAUGCCGCGGUGAAUACGUUCCCGGGCCUU
This 180-nucleotide ribosomal RNA is filed under the name uncultured Coriobacteriaceae bacterium. RNAcentral describes it as "partial 16S ribosomal RNA". It matches the Rfam family "Bacterial small subunit ribosomal RNA", at positions 1205 to 1382 of the family's 1533-position model. Lineage: Bacteria; Bacillati; Actinomycetota; Coriobacteriia; Coriobacteriales; Coriobacteriaceae. The record is from RNAcentral.